AGAGUUUGAUCCUGGCUCAGGACGAACGCUGGCGGUAUGCCUAACACAUGCAAGUCGAACGAGAUUAUUUAUUUGUUUACAAAGAAAUGAUUGCAGUGGCGGACGGGUGAGGAACACGUAAGAACUUACCUUUUGGCGGGGGAUAACAACGGGAAACUGUUGCUAAUACCCCAUAACGCUGAGGAGCGAAAGGGAAACUGCCAAAAGAGAGGCUUGCGUCUGAUUAGCUAGUUGGAGGAGGUAAAUGCUCCCCAAGGCGACGAUCAGUAGCUGGUCUGAGAGGAUGAUCAGCCACACUGGGACUGAGACACAGCCCAGACUCCUACGGGAGGCAGCAGUGGGGAAUUUUCCACAAUGGGCGAAAGCCUGAUGGAGCAAUACCGCGUGAAGGAUGAAGGAUCGUGGUCCGUAAACUUCUUUUCUUAACGAAGAAAUUCUGACGGUAGUUAAGGAAUAAGCACCGGCUAACUCCGUGCCAGCAGCCGCGGUAAUACGGGGGGUGCAAGCGUUGUCCGGAAUGAUUGGGCGUAAAGCAUCUGUAGGUGGUUCUUAAAGUCGACUGUUAAAGCCCAGGGCUCAACUUUGGAUAAGCGGUCGAGUACUUAAGGACUUGAGUAUGGUAGGGGUAGAGGGAAUUCCUAGUGGAGCGGUGAAAUGCACAGAGAUUAGGAAGAACACCAAAGGCGAAGGCACUCUACUGGGCCAUGACUGACACUGAGAGAUGAAAGUCGGGGGAGCGAAAAGGAUUAGAUACCCUUGUAGUCCCGACCGUAAACGAUGGAUACUAAGUGCUGACAACAUCAGUGCUGUAGCUAACGCGUUAAGUAUCCCGCCUGGGGAGUAUGCUCGCAAGAGUGAAACUCAAAGGAAUUGACGGGAACUGGCACAAGCGGUGGAUUAUGCGGUUUAAUUCGAUGAUACACGAAGAACCUUACCAGGGAUUGACAUGUUCAGAACUUUUGAGAGAUUGAAAGGUGCCCUUAUUUUUGAUUUGGGAGCUGAAACACAGGUGGUGCAUGGCUGUCGUCAGCUCGUGCCGUGAGGUGUCGAGUUAAGUCUUUGAACGAGCGCAACCCUUGUCUUUUGUUACCACUUUUAUGCGCUCGCGCAAGAAAAGGACUCAAAAGAGACUGCCGGUGUAAACCGGAGGAAGGAGAGGAUGACGUCAAGUCAGCAUGCCCCUUACAUCCUGGGCUACACGCGUAAUACAAUGGCAAAGACAAUAGGACGCGAACCCGUGAGGGGGAGCAAAUCUAGUAAACUUUGUCUCAGUUCGGAUUGAAGUCUGCAACUCGACUUCAUGAAGCCGGAAUCGCUAGUAAUCGCCGGUCAGCUAUACGGCGGUGAAUACGUUCCCCAGUUUUGUACACACCGCCCGUCACAUGCUGGGAGCCAUCUUGUCCCGAAGACAGGUUGCCAACCACACCCCUCCGGGGAUGGAAGCGAAUGUCAACGGUUGGGUUGGUGACUAAUAUGAAGUCGUAACAAGGUAUCCGUACUGGAAGGUGUGGAUG
Molecule: ribosomal RNA, 1514 nt
Filed under: metagenome
Description: bacterial SSU rRNA
Rfam family: Bacterial small subunit ribosomal RNA
Source: RNAcentral